AUAACCCAGGGAAACUUGGACUAAUACCGUAUACGUCCGAGAGGAGAAAGAUUUAUCGGAGUUAGAUGAGCCCGCGUUGGAUUAGCUAGUUGGUGGGGUAAAGGCCUACCAAGGCGACGAUCCAUAGCUGGUCUGAGAGGAUGAUCAGCCACACUGGGACUGAGACACGGCCCAGACUCCUACGGGAGGCAGCAGUGGGGAAUAUUGGACAAUGGGCGCAAGCCUGAUCCAGCCAUGCCGCGUGAGUGAUGACGGCCUUAGGGUUGUAAAGCUCUUUCAACGGUGAAGAUAAUGACGGUAACCGUAGAAGAAGCCCCGGCUAACUUCGUGCCAGCAGCCGCGGUAAUACGAAGGGGGCUAGCGUUGUUCGGAAUUACUGGGCGUAAAGCGCACGUAGGCGGAUACUUAAGUCAGGGGUGAAAUCCCGGGGCUCAACCCCGGAACUGCCUUUGAUACUGGGUAUCUAGAGUAUGGUAGAGGUGAGUGGAAUUCCGAGUGUAGAGGUGAAAUUCGUAGAUAUUCGGAGGAACACCAGUGGCGAAGGCGGCUCACUGGACCAUUACUGACGCU
RNAcentral lists this ribosomal RNA (570 nucleotides) under Salmonella enterica subsp. enterica serovar Typhimurium. RNAcentral's name for it is "bacterial SSU rRNA". It matches the Rfam family "Bacterial small subunit ribosomal RNA", at positions 143 to 747 of the family's 1533-position model. The record is from RNAcentral. Lineage: Bacteria; Pseudomonadati; Pseudomonadota; Gammaproteobacteria; Enterobacterales; Enterobacteriaceae.